Molecule: ribosomal RNA, 460 nt
Filed under: uncultured bacterium
Lineage: Bacteria
Description: partial 16S ribosomal RNA
Rfam family: Bacterial small subunit ribosomal RNA
Source: RNAcentral
CCUACGGGAGGCAGCAGUGAGGAAUAUUGGUCAAUGGACGAGAGUCUGAACCAGCCAAGUAGCGUGAAGGAUGACUGCCCUAUGGGUUGUAAACUUCUUUUAUAAAGGAAUAAAAUGAUGCACGUGUGCCUUUUUGUAUGUACUUUAUGAAUAAGGAUCGGCUAACUCCGUGCCAGCAGCCGCGGUAAUACGGAGGAUCCGAGCGUUAUCCGGAUUUAUUGGGUUUAAAGGGAGCGUAGAUGGGUUGUUAAGUCAGUUGUGAAAGUUUGCGGCUCAACCGUAAAAUUGCAAUUGAUACUGGCAGUCUUGAGUACAGUAGAGGUAGGCGGAAUUCGUGGUGUAGCGGUGAAAUGCUUAGAUAUCACGAAGAACCCCGAUUGCGAAGGCAGCUUACUAGACUGUGACUGACACUGAGGCUCGAAAGUGUGGGUAUCAAACAGGAUUAGAUACCCCGGUAGUC